RNAcentral lists this ribosomal RNA (573 nucleotides) under Beauveria brongniartii. RNAcentral's name for it is "partial 5.8S ribosomal RNA". The stretch from base 194 to 347 matches the Rfam family "5.8S ribosomal RNA". The record is from RNAcentral. Lineage: Eukaryota; Fungi; Ascomycota; Sordariomycetes; Hypocreales; Cordycipitaceae.
UUCCGUAGGGUAACCUGCGGAGGGAUCAUUACCGAGUUUUCAACUCCCUAACCCUUAUGUGAACCUACCUAUUGUUGCUUCGGCGGACUCGCCCCAGCCGGACGCGGACUGGACCAGCGGCCGCCGGGGACCCUCAAACUCUUGUAUUAUCAGCAUCUUCUGAAUCCGCCGCAAGGCAAAACAAAUAAAUCAAAACUUUCAACAACGGAUCUCUUGGCUCUGGCAUCGAUGAAGAACGCAGCGAAACGCGAUAAGUAAUGUGAAUUGCAGAAUCCAGUGAAUCAUCGAAUCUUUGAACGCACAUUGCGCCCGCCAGCAUUCUGGCGGGCAUGCCUGUUCGAGCGUCAUUUCAACCCUCGACCUCCCUUUGGGGAAGUCGGCGUUGGGGACCGGCAGCACACCGCCGGCCCUGAAAUGGAGUGGCGGCCCGUCCGCGGCGACCUCUGCGUAGUAAUCCAACUCGCACCGGAACCCCGACGUGGCCACGCCGUAAAACACCCAACUUCUGAACGUUGACCUCGAAUCAGGUAGGACUACCCGCUGAACUUAAGCAUAUCAAUAAGUCGGAGGAAA